UCAGGAGAUGUUUAUCCUAUAAUAUUGAUUUUUCGAUCGGUUUCGUGUGUCAAAUACAAGAGUAAAUACUACAGUACCCAUGAGCCUUAUCGACAUCUACUAUGGUGAAGGCACCAGCUAAAACUACAUGUGGGCCCGCUGCAGAUCACAAUAUUUUCUCAACACAUGAACACUAACGUGUGCUUGAUAAUUCAACAAUACGAUGUUAUGGCCAUCAAUUUUGAUUGUUUCUACUUUGAUUGUAAAAAAAAUAAGUCAGUUUCGGACGCCUGCAUUUCCCAGAAUCCUCUCUGCCUUCGUUGCUAUGGAAUCUGAGCCAGUCCUCUUUGCUAUUGGGUGAUUUCUUCUUCGGUACUCGUAAUUGACAGGGAUUCUCUCAUACGCGAAAAUCAUUGUCCAGGUAAGUGAUGCUUUCGUUUAAAGUUCACUAUUUGUUUAAAUGUUAUAAUUCACGCCUUUCUUUUGGCAUUACGCUGACAUUGCCAUAGCCGUACGAAAAUUAACCAUGUUUUUGUGGUAAAAGUGUAGUAACUACGGUUUGUGUAUCGAUUAUUUGCAAAAUGGUUUUACUAAACCAAACAUGGUUUAACUUUUUUUUUUCAAAUUCAUGGUUCUUUCUUAACUUGCAACCUAUCUCUAUAUAUACUGCAUCUGUUGUACCUGUCUGUCCAGCUGUGUGUUUGUCUUUCUGUCUUUGUCUGCUUUGCAAUGGCCACCAGAUAUACCCCUCACAAACAGGAUCCCCGCUACCAAGAGGGGAGGCUCAUGGCUCUUGAGCUGAACCAUGACCACAUUCUAGCUGAAGCCAAGAGAGCAGUUGUGGAGACGAAACGUUUAUGCCCUAGAAGAGACCCUUCACAGACCUCUAACAGGAUCUUUGUUGGCUGGGGCAAGCCGAGGGGGAGGCAAGGAGGGUGACGCCAAGCCUCAGCUACAGGUCACUUUUACAGGUUGAGUGCUUCCUGUCAUCCAGUGUGGAGUUUCCACUUAACUGUACCCUCAGCAAAACUAAAUCCUCAAGAGGAAUAUGGU
Molecule: non-coding RNA, 1032 nt
Organism: Misgurnus anguillicaudatus (oriental weatherfish)
Lineage: Eukaryota; Metazoa; Chordata; Actinopteri; Cypriniformes; Cobitidae
Source: RefSeq, a predicted model, not a curated record